Molecule: long non-coding RNA, 546 nt
Filed under: Cyanistes caeruleus (blue tit)
Lineage: Eukaryota; Metazoa; Chordata; Aves; Passeriformes; Paridae
Description: lncRNA (ENSCCEG00000019202.1)
Source: RNAcentral
AUGGCACCAGGCUCUGCAUCAGCACUAGGCCACAGUUCACAAGUGAUGCUUCCCGCUUUGCUCCUGUUUGUUCUGUGUCAGUGUGAAGUGUCACAGACAGAAGAAAGUCAAGCUGGUGCUGGUGACACGUGCAAGGGCUGGUUGGGGACAUCCCCUGUCCAGAUGGAGCCAGGCUCUUUAUCUAAGGACAGAAAGGAGUGGUUUCCCAGGCCCUGGUCAGCUCAGGAAAGGAAGUCUGACACCAAGGGACCCUGGCACCUGCUGCCCUCUUUGCUUGAGAAAGUGACCGUCUACCUUGACUUCAACAAGCUCUUGAGAGGGGAAGAGCCAUGGCAAGGGAGAAAUAAAGUACAUGAACUAGGGAUUUUAAGAAUUCACUCAACUGGAUUCAACACCCCCCCUUCCAUCUUUUGUCAGCUGAUGUAAAAUCAGAAACAUCUCUACUGAAGCAUAUGUGCACACAUACUCCUAAGAAGGAAUCAUUAUUCAUCCCUCUCCAUAGUGUGCAUGUUGCCAGAUUUUAUACAGACAGAGAUUGCAUUCAAG